Molecule: ribosomal RNA, 13881 nt
Filed under: Wolfiporia cocos
Lineage: Eukaryota; Fungi; Basidiomycota; Agaricomycetes; Polyporales; Phaeolaceae
Description: large subunit ribosomal RNA
Rfam family: Bacterial large subunit ribosomal RNA (bases 3924-5145)
Source: RNAcentral
UAAAAGAAUCGAUGGCAAUAUAGUUCUAACAUCAAAAAGUAUUUCAAAGGGGUUAUUAAGGAUAACUAGCAAAUUUAUAAAAAAGGAGGUAAUAAACCAAAAGCCACAAGAUUAAUUUAUCAAUCCGAUUAUGGAUAGGUAAUUUAAUAUCAAUAAUUCUGGCGAUCCUAAGGGAAACCUUUAUUAUAAAAACUUCCCGAAGUAAAUCAUUUUAGUAGGGAAAGGAAAGGAAAUCAACCGAGACUCCGAAAGUAACGGCGAGUGAAAUCGGAAUAGCCUAUAUAAUUAAGCUUCAAUUGAAACUAUACCAAAGAAGGUAACUAUAAGUCCUGUAGAUUGUUGGAUAAUUAUCAAAUCUCUAUAGAAAAUAUAGACGACUAAAAAGUACGAUGAGAGAAAACUUGUCGGAAAAUAGGGGAACCAUCCUCUAAGGCUAAGUAUUAUAAAUUUCGCUAUAGUGAAAAGUACUUCAAAGGAAAAGUUGAAAAGAAUGUAAUAAUAGACAUAGUGAAAUAGUCUUGAAUUAGUAACUCUAUAAGCAGUCCAAAUUUAUACAACUAUAAAUAAGGGCGUACCUUUUGUAUAAUGGGUGAAUUGCUUGCCCAGAAAAACUGUGAAGUUUUUUGUAACACUGACUCAUCUGCUGUUUGUUUAGAUCUUCUGUUCACCUUCCGGUGAUGAAAUAAAAAAGAGAAAUAAAAGAGCCAGCGGGGUAUGGUUUUUUUUUACCUGUUCAUCUGUUAAAAAUAGAAUCAUGCUAACGGUUAAUCCUAAGGAUAUAAAAAUCUAAGGAAAUCCCGUGGGAAGCUUAUAAAUCGUAGGAAUUAUUAGUGUAAUUAAAUUACACUCUUUUUAUUUGCCCUGUAACGACUUGAUGGCAAACCAUCAGACUGAAUUUACAAUUUGGUAACACGUCAGCACUCAAUGAUUCCAAAAAUUAUGGGAAUAACUUUAUUAUAUUAGGGGUUUGCACACUCGUUGACUAAAAUGAAGUACAGGGUGCUUUGCAUCCUAUAGGGUGCCGCUUCUUUGCACUAGUGCAGAGCGUGCAUGCAGAUCGAGAAUAUAAUUCACCUAAGAUUUAAUUGAGUUGAAGGUAUAGUCUAAUCCUUUAUGAAAAUAUAGGUAUCAAUGCAGCAAGUUAAUAGGAGUAGCAAGGUUAAAAGCCUUAGCGAAAGCGACUGCACUAACUAGCUAAAGUAUUUUGUUUAUUUUAUUUACUAAAAUAAGUUAUAAAUAGAAUAAUCCUUUAUUGUUAAGUUUAGUACAAGCAAUAAAGUCAAUUAUUUUCUAGGUAAUAGUGGCGGAUAAGUUACUUCUAUUAGACCCGAAGCAAGGUGAUCUUCCCAAGACCAGAUGUAUAAUGGAUCGAACGGGUGAAUGUUGCAAAAUUCUCCGAAGAGUUUUGGGAAGCGGUAGUAAAAUUAAUUGCCGCAUUGAAAAGUGAUUUUCAAUAAAAAACUAGCUCAUAACGGUGGAAACCUUUUAUCUUUAAGGUUAAUAGGAAAUACCGUGGGAAGUUGUAUCAGGCCCUUGGAUUAAUAAGAAUCCAGCCACAGUAACAAUACUAAAUUAGUAUAAUUCAUAUAAUUAAUAUUACAGAUAAAGUUCUUAUAGAGACGCUUCGCUUCUUAAUAGAUUAUAUGGAUAGUUGAUAUUAACCCCGUAACGACUUUAAUUGAAAAAUUAAGGCUUUAAAAAUAAAGCAAAACGCUAGCACUCUUAGUUACACUGGAUUAUGGUUUGAAUGUAUUUCCGCUCCUUUGCUGCCGCAUCGCGUCAACUAAAACCUAAGAUCCAUUAGAGUUGAAAGUAUAGUCUGAACUAUUUCGUAAGAAAUAGAUUAACAAAAUUGGAAAUGCCAAUCUGACCUCAAACACGGGGCCUUUAUUAAACGCUUUUCUUGUUUAAAGUUAAGUAAAAUAAAGCGAAUCUGGUUAUAUGCUGGAAAAUUCUUUUAAACUGUAAUACAAAUCAAGUCAAAAUUUAUAGUUGUCAUUUUAAUGAGUUUAUGAAUUAUAAAGCUAUAAAACUAUUUAUAAUCUCAUGAAAAUAAGAAUAAUCAGCAAGUAAAUAUUUUAAUACUUCAACGACUAAUACACCAGAAACUUAAAGUUGUGAUAGAGUCUUCAAUACAAAAUAAAGUAGCCCCAUAAAAACAAAUGUGCUGUCCUUGUUGUCCAAUAAAACAAAUGUGCUGCCCUUUGGCUUGCGCUCCGCAUCCUAAAAUAAAGGUGGUUGUUUUUGCUCCGCAUCCGAGAAAGGAACGGCACUUAAGAAAUUAAUUAAUAGUCCCCAAAAGUCUCUCCCCCGUCUUAUGUUGGGUUGCAAGGAUCCUUGGCCUGCUAGUUAAAUUUCUUAUUAAUUUACUAUCCCUUUUUAAUUGAUGAGAGUCACUAGAAAGCGAAUUAGGUUCCGCUUAGUUAAUAAUAACUCUAGUCACUAGAAGGGCUAGCCCCCCAACUCUAGUUAAAAUAGUGAAACAGUUAAUUAUAGUAAUUUAGGUAUAACUAAAAUAACAAAUAUAUUUAAGCUACAAACACAAUGACAAAUAUGAACCUAAAAUUAAAUAAAUUAAGCCUUACUUCCGCUGUAAACAAAUUAGAUAGCUGCAGAGAAAUUGUAAUUACACCUACUACUAGAUCUAAAUUAGCUUGGUUAGUAACGGGACUAGUUCAAUCUGAUGGAUGUUUUGGAAUGCGAGUUUUUAAGUAUAAAAAAAGUAUUGGAAUAAGUUUUAAAUUAACAAUAGAGAUGACUAUGACUUCUUUACCUUUGUUAAAACAAGUACAAGCAUACUUUGGUUGUGGUUCUAUUUAUUUUAAUAAAAAACGAAAUACUUGUAUUUAUUCUAUUUCAGCUAAAUCCGAACUAUGGCAUAUAGUGGUUCCUCACUUUUUAAAUUACCCUCUUUUUGGUUCUAAAUAUGAAUCUUUUGUAAAAUUUUUAAAAGCGUUUACAUUGUUUUAUCCAAUUCAAGGAAAGAAUCAAGAUAAGCUUACAUUAGCUAAAGUUCUUUUUUUAGGAUGGAAUAUCAAUGAAUAUAGUAGUGUAAGAGAAGAGGAAGAUAUAUUUAUUCAUUUGAACAAAUUAUUACCUUCAUUACAACUUAAUUUUGAAUCUUCAAUUAGUUUUGAAAACAAAAUGUUAAUAGUGGGAGAAAAGUUAGGUAUUGAAAGUAGUAACAAUAUAUUAAUGAAUUCUUUAAAAUAUUUAGAUCAAUAUAGAUUAGUAACUAUUAAUCCUUAUUUUAUAGUUGGAGUAAUAGAAGGCGAUGGAUCAUUUUAUGUUGGUUUAAGAGGAAAUGGUAAAAUACGUUUUGGUUUUAAUAUUACAACUAGUAUUGAUGAUUUGAUGCUUCUUUUUAACAUAAAAUUAGCUUUAUGCUGCGGUGUUGUAAAAGCUAAAGCAAAAAGUUGGUGCAGAUACGAGUCAGAAGGAAAUAAGGAUUUAAGAAAUACUCUUAUGUUAGUUGUAAAAUUGAGUCCAUUUGGAGAUAAACUUAUAGGAUCUAAGUCUACUAAUUAUGAAAUUUUUAGAGAAGUAAUGGGUAUUUUCGCUAAAAAAGGUCAUAUGGAAAAAGAAGGUUUACGACGUAUAGCUCAAUUGGUUUAUAGUGGUGCAACCCUUAAAAACCGAAAACUAACUUUAGAGGAAUACUUAAAAAAACAUAAUCUACUUAUCUAAAGUUAAGCACAAGACAUCCCUUUAUUUUUUAUAAUUCAAAUUUUAAAUUCACUCCAAAGGACAAAUGUCCAAAUAGCUAAUAGAUAGUUAAGGUUAUAUUCAAAUUUUUUUAGCCAGCGAUUUAUUGUAGCAGCCAUCCCCCUACCCCCAUCACCAUUUCUUUGUUUUCGAAGAAAGGGGGGGUUCGGGGAAUAAAAUUUCAAUUUCUUUUUUAUUAUGUAUAUAUUAAUACCUCCCCACCUUUUUUUUAAUUUGUCACAUUUGGGUUGGCCACCAUAACCCCCUCCUAGGACUUUUAAAAAGUAGCUGUCGCACGUGUUAUUAGCACGGAAGCCUUCCAAUAAAGACGGGAGGGGGGAGUGGAUUUGUUUUUAUAAGGGUUAUCUUAUAUUGUACAUGAGUGUGCUAGCUGGUUUUCUACGAAACAUAUCUUAGUAUGACAUCUAUACAAAAUUUAUGGUGGUACAGCAAUUAAUUCCCAACUGGUAAUAGUAAUUAAUUUUGCUAUUACACCGGUUUAGGUUGAGGGGAACUAGAAAAUCUUACCAAUGGAAGAUAAACUCGAAAUGACAUAAAUUGAUGGUAGAUAUUCAGACUGCUCAUGAAAAAGUUGAGUAGUCAAGACGGAAACAGCCGAGAACACGCAAUCAAGGUCCCAAAUGAUUAUUCAGUGAAAUUAAGGAAAUAACAUAUCGAAUUCAGCUAGCACAGUGAGCUUGGAGGUAGCUAUUCUGAUAAUAAACGUAAUGUAACAACGUAGCAGCCCUUAGAAUGUUGUACCAAAAAUUUAACGGGUCUAAAUAAUCAACCGAUAUCGUGUUUAUUUUGAAUAAAAGGCAUAAUACAACUUUUUAUUCAUAAUAUAGGUAGUAGAACAUUCAGUAUACUUAAUAUAAAACAGUGUUUCAUUGUUUUUAGGUAACUGAAGAGAUAAUGCUGACAUGAGUAACGUAAAAAGAAGUUAUAAUACUUCUCGCCGAAUACGAAAGGGUUAUAAGGAAAGGUUAAACCACCUUAUGUUAAUGCGGCCUCUAAGGAUAGAAGCUAAGGCUUCAACUGAUGAGUAGAUAACUGAAAGUCUUGCAUCAAGCCCGUACUAAAAAUAUUUGAAUUUCAAUUUAAGUGCGGAGCCGAAUAAGAACGGAGGGAGCUGUACAGCACCGUAGGGUCUUUCACCUUUACGAAACUCCUUCGAGUGGAACAGGAAAAUUAAGUUAUAUCUAUAUGCUACCGUACCCUAAACCGACACAGGUUCGUAGGUAGAGAAUACUAAGGCGUAGAGCUAAAAGUUGUUAAGGAACUCGGCAAAUUCUCCUCCUAAGUUAGACGAAAAGAGGAACCCUAUUUAAUUUCAAUUAUAAAUUAUAAAUCUAUAAUUGGUUUUUUCACGUUCACUGUACGACGAAAUAGGGUGGCAGCAAAUCGGAGGCCCCGACUGUUUCCUGACUCAGUAUUUUGGGAAAUACUAUUUUGGGAUAAACUAUCAAACUACGGGAACCUCCUAAAGCUUUUGAUACCAAGCUAUAUUUGAAAAAAUAUAAGUGGCUGAACUAAUCACUCAGGUAUGGUAACAAGUCAAAAGAUAGAUGAAAAAAAAAUGGAAUAUCGCGUAUCUAAAUCAAUUUUAUUUUUAAUAAAAAUAGUCUUUUAUUUAACUAUUAUUUUUAUUUGAAUUUAUUUUUUAGUGGGAGCUAAAAUAGUACUAUUAUCUGCAGCAAUUAUUCCUGCUGUGGUGUAUGGUAAUGCCGACCUAGAAAAAUCUAAUAUUACUAUAGGAAAUAAAAAAAAAGCGGGAGUUUAUAGAUGAGUCAACAAAAAUAACGGAAAAUGUUAUGUUGGUAGUUCUAUUAACUUGUCUAAUAGAUUUUAUUUUUAUUUCAAUUUAAAAGCUAUGCUACUUACUUCGAAAAAUUCUCUUAUUGCUAGAGCUUUAUUAAAAUACGGUUAUUCUAAUUUUCAAUUAGAAAUUCUUGAAUACUGUGACCCUUCUAAAUGUAUAGAAAGAGAACAAUAUUAUAUAGAUUUAUUAAAACCUGAAUAUAAUAUUUUAAAAUUAGCUGGAUCUAGAUUAGGUUCUAAACAAUCUGUAGAAGCACGAGAUAAAAUUAGUCUAAGUUUAAUAGGUAAUAAAAGAUCGGUAGGAGGUAAAAGAAGUGGUAAUCCAUGUAUAGUUUUAGAUGUAGAAACUGGUGUAAAAACUAGAUACGAAAAAAUAAAUCUUGCAGCCAAAGCUUUAGGUUCUAGUCCAAAAGCACUUAGAAAAUACCUAAAAAGAAAUAGUGGAAAACCAUUUAAAGGAAGAUAUUUCGUGACUAAAUUAAAGCCAGAUAUUUCCUAAUUUAACUUAAAAUAAAAAUAAUUUAAACAAAUAAAAAGAAAAUCCGGUAGGCUUCUGUUGUACAACUGUGGCUUAUUUAUUUUUAAAAUAAAUUAUACCUAAGGAUUUAAUUGUAAAAGAGCAACGAGUAGACGGUAGUUAAUUAUUGAAAAAUAAUUUAAGGUGUACUCUAAUGGGUUUCGAAAGAAAUUAUCCUGUCAAAAUCCCUUCUAAACAAAAUAAUAAAGUAAUCAAAAUAUUUAUUUAGUAAUAACCUAUAACCAAAUUUACGUAAUUAUUUGUUAUUUUUAUUAUUCUGCAUGAUAAAUUUGAUGAUCGUGAAAAACAUAAUUCAGAGCAAUGAUUAAUAUAAUAGUAUUCUGAAUGAAAUUUGCCCAAUGCCAUUAAUAUAAGAGAGGUAAUGAACAGUUACUAAUCGAAAAUCUGGUUAAUAGCGGUCUUAUUAUUGAGGAUCCAAAGGUAGCAAAAUCAAUUGGCCAUUAAAUGUGGUUGAACUAUAUAACCAAUAUAACGACCUUCAGUUGGGCCUUUAGGGGCUCAGGAGAGGGUUGAUUCUAAAUAAAAUAGAGUAAUCCAAUUUUCAAAAACAAAUACGUGUUUCAACAAUAGUGUUCCAAAAUCUAAAGUAAAAAAUUCUGUACUAUUAAGGUUACUUUGUUUAUUUCAAAAUUUCUGGUUUACUUAGUAGAUUCUAUGUUAAUGAGUUUGGGUAAAAUCUGAUAAUACGUAUCACGAUGCUGAGGUAUGUUCAAAGCGUCCAGGUUUUAUUAAAUCUAGUUUAACUUGGCCCGUACGGGUAAAAUUAAUUUAGAAUGAAAUCCAUACUAGAGUGGAUUAAAGCGUACCUCAUUAGACACUAUUUAAAAAUGAUUUAAUAAAUAAAGAUGAUAAACAAAUUAUACCUUAAUUUAGAUAAAGCAAGAUUAGAAUUAAAACCUCAUAUAAAAAACCAAGCCGGAAUUUACCAAUUGGUGAAUUUAAAAAAUGGUAAAACUUACGUAGGUUCUUCAAACAAUUUGUAUAGAAGAUUAACUGAUUAUUUAAAUCCAUCAGGGAUCGCUAAAAGCCUUAGUAGAGGACAUAGUCAUAUACUGAGAGCCUUAUUAAUUGAGGGUUCUGAUAAUUUUGGAAUUCAAAUUUUAGAGUUAAUUGAUUUAGAUCCAAAAUUAAGUAAUCUCGAAAAAAGAAAUUUCAUUUUUAAGAGAGAACAAUUUCAUAUUGAUCAAAUUCAACCUGAAUAUAAUAUUAUCAAAUUCAUAGGAGACGCAUUGGGCCGAGAUUAUCCUGCGGAGACAAGAGCCCGAAUGAGAAUUAACAAUGCAGCUAGUAAACCAAUUUUUGCUUACAAUAGCGAUGGUAGUUUUAAUAAAUUGUUUUUUUCUAUGAUUCAAGCAGGUAAUGAAUUAAGCAUAAAUCGACGAGCAAUAGCAACUAGACUUCAAAAAUCUAAUCCUGUUCAUUUAUGAAAUAGCACAAACACGAAAAGUUACAUUUUAAGUCCAACUCAGCUAACUCAGCAAGAGUUAGAUGAGUUUAUUUUAUCUGCUAAAGGCUUACCAAUAGCCUCAAGUCAAAAAACAAAAGGGCCUAAUUUACAAAUACAAAUAUAUGCCUAUAAAUUAGAUGGAAAAUUUUAUGGUGUUUAUGACAGUUUAGCUCAAGCAGGAAGAGUAUUUAAUGUAAAUCCAGCCACAAUUAAAAAAUAUGCAAAAUCAAAUAAACCAUUUAAAAACCUAAAAUUAAGUUUUACACCAAUCCGAUUGGACUUAGAGGACACUGCUUUUUUACCGGAAAGGCAUAGUCAAAAACAUCUUUAAUUAUGGAGCAGUUUAUUUUAGUCAAAAUAGAUUAGAAUAUAAUUAAAAAGUAUUAUUGGUUAUCAGGCCUCAUUUAUAAAACUUCACUAUAUUCUGAAAAAUUUAACAACCCAUAAUUUUUUUAUUACUAAUAUCGCCUAGAAAGAAAUUAGUCAAAAUAUAAAACAAAAGCGAAUUAAUCAGAAGAUAAUAUAAACUUUCUUUUUUUGGUUAACAAAACAAAGACAGAAGAAAUAUCUCAGAGACUACACGUGAAAAACAGCCUUCCUUUGUUUUGCAUCAUAAGUAUAAUAAAAACAGAACGGACGGCAGUUAAUUAUAUAGUCCAAACGGUUUUAAAUAUGGUAUUAUUACUAUUAAUUUAAGAUCGUUUUGCUGGAAUGAGUAGUGUAACGAGGGCCUCACUGUCUCUACAACUUGCUCAGUGAAAUUGAAUUGUGAGUGAAGAUGCUCACUAUCUCCAGGUCAACGUCGGCCUUGUUUAAAUAUAAGAAAUUUCUACAAUCAAUGAAAAUCUUUAUAUUUAAUACUAAUCACUAAAUGCUUGAAGUCUUUUUACUAAUAAUCCAAACUUUUGGUAAAAUUUAUUAGCCUAUUGACUCGGUUCCGCUGUACUUGACAAGAAAUUCCCGUACGGGAGCGUACGCGGUUGUAUUCAUAAAAUAACAAUAAACUAAGGCAGUAGAAAAAAGUAAUAAGCAGCAGGCUGAAAAAGUCCGCUCAACGACUACACGUGAUAUAAAAAGAUAUAGUCUUAAUUCUUAUUUACAAGUUGGUCUUUCCUAAGAAUAUUAAUAAUCUCUCCUUCAAUAAACCGAAGGAUCUUGAUCUUUAAAUAAGGAGGAUAAGUGUGAAUAUGAAUCGGAGACGGGAAGACCCUAACUAUAAUUUUGCAUUUUUAUUAGAGGACAUCUUAUGAUUCUCAGUACUAUCUCUUAGUAUUUUCUAAGUAUAGUUUAGGUUAACUUAGCUUGCCAAUUGAUGGCGCGUUAUUAUUAUAACGUUUCAUUUUCAGUUAAAUUUUUUGUAAAAAUAUGUAGAUCCUAAAUUUUUUGUAAAAGAAUGUAGAUCCUAAAUUAUUCAGUGGAUUUAAAACACCAGCAAAAUAAUCAAGAUUUAGUAAUAGACUAUCUCCUAUUGGUUAUUUUGUUUUAUUAUGAAGUGGAAAAUACCCUCAAUAUCUUUAUCUUGAAGAGUUUUGAGGGUUUAAGGGCUAAUCAAAGAAAAUCAAAUAUAUAAAUUUUAGAAAAUGAAUAAAAAUACAAAUAAACUAUUAAAUAAUAAUUUAAAUAACGACAUGAGUAGAGAUUUCUCUAAAGCUAGACAAAAUGCUGAUUUAAACCCUAACUAUAUAACAGGGAUCAGCGACGCUGAAGGAAACUUUGCUAUUGUUACAUCAACUAUUGAAAAAAACAAUAAAGUAUAUAAUAAAGUAUAUUUAAGAUUUAGUGUCACUCAAAAAGCACAUUCUGCUGGUAUACUUUAUGAAUUAAUGGAGUAUUUUGGGUGCGGUCAAGUUAUUCCUACUUCAAAAGGAUGUAUGAGAUACGUAGUUCAAAAUAGAGAUGAUAUCAAUAAUAUAAUAAUACCUCAUUUUGAUAGUUUUCCUUUACAAACUUCUAAAAGGCUAAAUUUCUUAACCUUUAAAGAAGGAGCUAAAUUUGUAACCGAGGGCCAACAUUUAACUCCAGAGGGCUUUAACAAACUUAAUGAAUUGAAAGGGCAAAUGAAUGACAAUAGAACUUUUGAUGAAUUAUAUGUGCACUUGGCUUUAAGGGAUAUAGUUUUAAACCCUUAUUGGAUCUUAGGCUUUGUUGACGCUGAAGGUUGUUUUGGUACACUACUUAGUUUAAGUAAAGCCGGAAAAAUUAUUACUAGAAAUAGAUUAUCUAUUCCUCAAUCUUCUCAUGAUUAUAAAAUCCUUUUGGCUAUUAAACAGUUUUUCGGAGCUGGUUAUUUAAGUCCUAAAGAGGAUAAACUUAAUACUUUGGAUAAAGCAAAAGCUUCCCAAGAUGAAACUUAUUAUUAUAACUCAGUUACUGAUAACGUAAUUUCUUUUUUCGAUAGUUAUCACUUACUAACUAGAAAAUAUUUAGAUUACUUAGAUUUUAAACAAUUUUAUCUAUUAAAAAAAGAAAAACAACAUCUCACUCCCGCCGGAUUUAAAAAAAUGGCUAAUAUUUUCAUGAAUAUGAACUCCGGUAGAAAUAAACAAAAAAUAACUAAAUUAAACAUAAACAAAAUAUUAACUAAAUUAAACAAAAAUUUCACUAAAAAAAACAAACAAAAAUAAUAACACAGUCCUUAACCCCCAUCCUCGCUACGAACAAGUACUUGACAACGAAUAAGGCUGUACUUGACCCGUACGGGUUUGUGGUCCGCGGACUACGGGCGCUCCAAUGCGUGGAAAUAAGUAAACCUAAUCGCUAUUGAUAGGAAGAGAAUGCAAAUUAAAAUAAGAUAAUCAAUAACUUCUAAUUAAUCCCAAAUAUGCACUGCUGGGGUCUUUUUAAACCGGAUAAAUUGCUAGAAAAACUGUUAAUAACAGACAACUAGCAGCCAAGCAUGGAUAAGUGUUUUAUUCAAUAGUUUUUAAAACUAAAUAAAAAUCUAUGAAGGUUCAACGACUAAUAGGUGAGUUUCACUUACAAUAAUCCUAACACGAAAAUCCGGCAUUCAAUCGAAAUGAAUGAUGACAUAGUCUGAACAAGUAACGUGAGUUACUGAAGUAGUGAAUAAAUAAUCAUUACGUUAACACAAAGAAGCAGCUUUACUGCAGUUAGUUAUCAUGUUGAUCUACAACAACCUUGGUUAAUAGUGAUUAGGGAAGUCGAUAGACGAAAGGUGGAAUACCUUAUAACGUUAGGUUGGGUCAAUAUUAACCUUAUAAUUUGAGGGAGAGUUGACUAAUGGGCAGUUUGACUGGGGCGGUCGUCUUUGAUAUAGUAGCAAAGUACAUCCAAAGAUUUGAAUAUAAAAUAAUAUCGCUUAUCUCUUUUUUUAUUUAAGAAAAUAGCUCUGCAGCGAAAUCCAAACUUAAAGUUUAUAGAUGAAAUAAGUGUUUUAUUUAUUUCUAUUUAUAUCAUUUUUUAUUAAGAAAGGUAGAGCUAGAAUAUUGUAUGGGGAACAAUCUGCCAGUGAGAAAGGUAGUAAUCGGCGUAAUGGCGGUAAGCUUGCCUAACUGUAAGACCUAGAAGUCGCACAGACACGUAAGUGUGGCAUAGUGACCCUCCGCUAUUUUAUGGAGCAGGCGGAGCUAAUUCGAUAACAUUAAAAUCUUAAAUUUAACUUUUGUCGCUUAAAUUAGAAAUAAUUUAUUGUAAAUUGGGUUAAUUUCAAGAAAAUCUCUUCUUGUACCCGUUCCGUUAUUAAUAUGCUCUUUCGAGCCCUCCCUUAUCCUUUAAAGGAAAUUCAAAAUAAUAACGAACAUAAAGGGUUGGCUUUUCUUUGGCUUUAACAAUAACAGAACAGUAGAGAGAUAACCUGAAGCGAAGCUAGGCAAGACAUAAACAAAUAUUGCCUAGAACGUUCAACGACUAGUGGGUGAGUAUUUGUCAACAAUAAUCCCACCACGAAAGCCCGACAAUUAAUUGGAGCCGGAUCACUUGUAUUUCCAAGUACAAAAGUACAAAAAAACCUUGGAUUAAUAAGUUAAUUACUUAGUUAAAAUCAAGGCAGAUCAUGCUUGUUGUUAUAAGAAGAACGAACGAAAUAACAAUUAAUUGAUGAUAUAGUCUGAACUAGCUGGUGACAGCUAGAAGCUUAUGAUAAAAAAAUAAGUGAUAACAAGAUUUGAAAAGUUACGCUAGGGAUGAACAUUACAUUAGUUGUCCCCCUCUGUCGAAAGAUUGAGUGGACUCAACAAAACAACAACUGGGUGAAUUGCAAAAACUACUUAAUAAGUAAAUUUGCAGCGAAGCUUAUCUUAGCAUCGUAAAAUAACUAUUUUAUAUAGUGAGAUAAGAACGUUCAACGACUAGAAAGUGAGUAAUGCUAAACAAUAAUCUUUCCACGAGCGCCCAGCAUCUAAUUGCAAAGUACGGGAAUGUAGUUAAUAUAAUUAAGAUGAUGACAUAGUCUGAACCACUUUGUGAUAAGUGGAAAAUAGAGGAUUAAAUGGCCUUUACGCUAACAAAUUUGAACAGGUUAAUAGCCGGUGAGAGUACACAUUGUCCCGGCUGUUUGACACCUCGAUAGUCAUCUGUCGAUUUAAAUUAGCAAUAAUUUAUUGUAAAAUAGGGUUAAUUGCAAGAAUCACUUUCCGCUAUACGCUCCUCUGGUCUGGAAGGAAUGAUUGGGAAGUAAACUUGCAGCGAAGCUUACUUUAGCAUUUGUUUAGUAUCUUGUGUACUUGAAAGUAACAAGGAUAAAGUAAGAACGUUCAACGACUAGUAGAUGAGUUGUCAACAAUAAUUCUACCACGAAAGCCCUACAACUAAACUAAUCCCUUGACGCUAUACUUGCGCUCCGCAUCCCCAGCCGUACGGCACUGGACAAAUUAGAUUUAGUUGAUGAAAUAGUCUAAACUGAUUUGUGAAAAUCAGAAACUUGGGAUAAAGAGCCUAAGUGGUAAUAAAUUGGUCGACUUUACUAAUCCUCCAGGGGCAGAAUCUUGGAAGGGUUCGGCUGUUCGCCGAUUCAAAAGUAACAUGAGUCAACUAGGCUCCUUAAUAACAGUAAUGUUACAAAGAGAAAAUAGGGUAAAUUGCAAGGACUUCUUAAAUUUAACUAUCUAAUUUAAGACAAUUUGCAGCGAAGCUUGAUUGGGUAUAUGGGCUUUAUUAAAAUAGCAGAAUCAAGAACGUUCAACGACUAACAAGUGAGUAAUACCAACAAUAAACUUGACACGAAACCCUACGUCCAUAGUUCAGUAGUAAAAUGGAUGAUGACAUAGUCUAAGCAUUGUCGUGAGGCAAUGAAGAUAGGAUUAAAUUAUCUAUCGAUAAUAUACUGUGGGUAAAGAUAGAAACUCAUAUAACUUCAAUUUUGCCGUACGGCCUUAUUCGUGGUGCGGACGCUAUAUCGCGGUCAAGUACGGCCAGCACGGAGCGAAGUUAUAAUUAAGCCCCUUAAUAACUAAAUUAUGCCUACGAAGCUAAUUUUAGUAUCAAUAUUAAGAAAACUGGGAAAAUUGCAAGGACAACUUUCACUUUACAAAAAAUCAUUAAAGGAAAAGUCAAUUUGCAUCGAAGCUUACUUUGACAACAAGCCCGUACGGGAAUAAAGUAAGAACGUUCAACGACUAGAUGGUGAGGAAUGUCACAAUAACCCAUCCACGAAUACCCAGCAUUAAAGCCAAUUUAAUGAUGACAUAGUCUGAACAAUAGUGUGAACUAUUGAAGAAUAGAAUAAAUAGCUAUUCGAUAACAAAUUUGUUAAUACGACGUAAAAUAGCAAAUUAAUAACUGACUUGCGUCGUCAAAGGAAACUAUGUGCUGGAACACCCGUCCUUUUUUGGUAUUCAAUAACAAUAGCGAUAUCAAUAUCAAUAUCAAUAUCAAUAUCAAUAUCAAUAGCAGCUCUACGGUACUAAUUAUCAACUAUAGUGACAAUCCAAUGAGCGGUUCCGGUUUGUAACAGGGUAAAUCAGCAGAAAAUUAACCAUUUAUUUUCUUAGAGACUAAAUGUUUCCAUCUUAAAUAAGAUAAGAUAAGAUAUAGUCCAAUUAGGCUUAGAAAUACUCAGGCCGCAAAUAGUUUGUGCUUCGCCUAAACCCAAAAUGUCCUCCUCGCUACGAUGAACGAAUAAGAAGCGUACGCAGCUAUAGCACACACGGGUCCAGAGCAAGACAUAUUUUGUAGAAUAGUAUUCUAAUUUCACACGGAGUCAGUAUGGAUCCUAUCUUCUGGAGAGAAAAAUAGUAAAAAGGGGCAGACCUUCUAGUACGAAAGGAUCAAUAGGCUGUGUUUCCCUAGUGUACCAAUUGUUUAAAAUAGAAGAAAUUAAGCAUAGUUGGGUAGCCACAAACAUGAUAGAUAAGCGCUGAAUGAAUAUGAAGCAGGAAGCUAUCCCCUAGAUACUAUCAUUAGAUUCCUAUUU